Rosa chinensis is the source of this 466-nucleotide long non-coding RNA. RefSeq lists it as uncharacterized. The transcript has 2 exons. The record is from RefSeq and is a predicted model, not a curated record. NCBI's taxonomy places the organism in Eukaryota, Viridiplantae, Streptophyta, Magnoliopsida, Rosales, Rosaceae.
UUGGUCAUGAAUAUACAUUGGUUAGUCAUGUCACCUUUUCAGUUUUCUGUAAGCUAUAUAAUGUUUUAAAGUUCAGAACAGGGAACUGACUUGAGGCAACCAUUUGUGACAGAGUAACUCUGAGUUUGCCUUAUCUAUUGAACCUGAGAACGAGUCACUUCAGUCCUAAGCAGCCUGUGUCACACAUCUUCGUAGCAAAGGCUUGCCUACGCUUCAUGAAACAAGUUGAUGUAGUGGCAGAAGCAGAAGAAAAAAAGAGGAGCAGCAGGAGCAAGCAUUAGUUGUGGCCGAAGUGGGCAAGCAAUCAUAAAUAGUCCAAUAAACAAUGAUCCAUUUCUAGCACACUAAUGUCUUUGUCCCGGAUGCAAUGUUAAACAAUAAAUUGUGACUGAUUCAUGAUUUUGUGGAACAAUGACUAAUACGAAUUGUAUCUUGGUGGAUCCAAUGUACUUUGAAGUUUAAAAUA